RNAcentral lists this ribosomal RNA (379 nucleotides) under uncultured bacterium. Its description in RNAcentral is "bacterial SSU rRNA". It matches the Rfam family "Bacterial small subunit ribosomal RNA", at positions 29 to 433 of the family's 1533-position model. The record is from RNAcentral.
AGCGAACGCUGGCGGCAGGCUUAACACAUGCAAGUCGAGCGGGCGUAGCAAUACGUCAGCGGCAGACGGGUGAGUAACGCGUGGGAACAUACCUUUUGGUUCGGAACAACACAGGGAAACUUGUGCUAAUACCGGAUAAGCCCUUACGGGGAAAGAUUUAUCGCCGAAAGAUUGGCCCGCGUCUGAUUAGCUAGUUGGUGAGGUAACGGCUCACCAAGGCGACGAUCAGUAGCUGGUCNGAGAGGAUGAUCAGCCACAUUGGGACUGAGACACGGCCCAAACUCCUACGGGAGGCAGCAGUGGGGAAUAUUGGACAAUGGGCGCAAGCCUGAUCCAGCCAUGCCGCGUGGAUGAUGAAGGCCCUAGGGUUGUAAAGUCC